GGGGGGUCCUGGUGCAUCUGGUGCUAAAGGGGAAAGUGGAGAUCCUGGCCCACAGGGACCAAGAGGACUUCAAGGACCUACUGGACCAGCUGGAAAACUAGGCAAGAGGGGCCGAAAUGGAGCUGAUGGAGCCAGAGGAAUUCCUGGAGAAUCGGGAGCCAAGGGAGACCGAGGAUUUGAUGGACUUCCUGGUCUACCUGGUGAGAAGGGACACAGGGGUGAGGCAGGUCCCAUUGGCUUACCAGGCCCUCCAGGAGAGGACGGACCAAGGGUGCGUUUGACCAAGUGACACAUUACUUUCUUAUUUGGAUUCAUAUGUACUUGCAUAGGUGUGCAGACACGUUGACAAACAUGUCUGUGCUCUUGUCUGCAGGGCGAGGAUGGUGAGAUUGGACAGAGAGGAAUGCCAGGAG
RNAcentral lists this long non-coding RNA (413 nucleotides) under Sinocyclocheilus grahami. Its description in RNAcentral is "lncRNA (ENSSGRG00000001266.1)". The record is from RNAcentral. Lineage: Eukaryota; Metazoa; Chordata; Actinopteri; Cypriniformes; Cyprinidae.